This 24-nucleotide non-coding RNA is filed under the name Arabidopsis thaliana (thale cress). Lineage: Eukaryota; Viridiplantae; Streptophyta; Magnoliopsida; Brassicales; Brassicaceae. The record is from RNAcentral.
GGAGGUGUUUCCUUUGGCUGGUAC